Molecule: ribosomal RNA, 506 nt
Filed under: Sporosarcina sp. CL2.140
Lineage: Bacteria; Bacillati; Bacillota; Bacilli; Caryophanales; Caryophanaceae
Description: bacterial SSU rRNA
Rfam family: Bacterial small subunit ribosomal RNA
Source: RNAcentral
CCCUGGCUCAGGACGAACGCGGGCGGCGUGCCUAAUACAUGCAAGUCGAGCGGAAUGAUGAAGAAGCUUGCUUCUUCUGAUUUUAGCGGCGGACGGGUGAGUAACACGUGGGCAACCUACCUUGUAGAUUGGGAUAACUCCGGGAAACCGGGGCUAAUACCGAAUAAUCCAUUUUGCUUCAUGGCAAGAUGUUGAAAGGCGGCUUCGGCUGUCACUACGAGAUGGGCCCGCGGCGUAUUAGCUAGUUGGUAGGGUAAUGGCCUACCAAGGCGACGAUACGUAGCCGACCUGAGAGGGUGAUCGGCCACACUGGGACUGAGACACGGCCCAGACUCCUACGGGAGGCAGCAGUAGGGAAUCUUCCACAAUGGACGAAAGUCUGAUGGAGCAACGCCGCGUGAGUGAAGAAGGUUUUCGGAUCGUAAAACUCUGUUGUAAGGGAAGAACACGUACGAGAGUAACUGCUCGUACCUUGACGGUACCUUAUUAGAAAGCCACGGCUAACU